UGGGGAAUAUUGGACAAUGGGGGCAACCCUGAUCCAGCCAUGCCGCGUGAGUGAUGAAGGCCUUCGGGUUGUAAAGCUCUUUUGGCGGGGACGAUGAUGACGGUACCCGCAGAAUAAGCCCCGGCUAACUUCGUGCCAGCAGCCGCGGUAAGACGAAGGGGGCUAGCGUUGUUCGGAAUUACUGGGCGUAAAGCGAGUGUAGGCGGUUGCCGUAGUCAGGUGUGAAAGCCUUGAGCUCAACUCAAGAAAUGCACUUGAUACUGGGUGACUAGAGGACCGGAGAGGAUAGUGGAAUUCCCAGUGUAGUGGUGAAAUACGUAGAGAUUGGGAAGAACACCAGUGGCGAAGGCGGCUAUCUGGACGGUUACUGACGCUAAGACUCGAAAGCGUGGGGAGCAAACAGGAUUAGAUACCCUGGUAGUCCACGCCGUAAAACGAUGGGUGCUAGACGUUGGCGAGCUUGCUCGUCAGUGUCGCAGCUAACGCGUUAAGCACCCCGCCUGGGGAGUACGGCCGCAAAGGUUGAAACUCAAAAGGAAUUGACGGGGGUCAUAGCUGUUUUCCU
Molecule: ribosomal RNA, 565 nt
Filed under: uncultured bacterium
Lineage: Bacteria
Description: partial 16S ribosomal RNA
Rfam family: Bacterial small subunit ribosomal RNA
Source: RNAcentral